GUGGCCGUAGCUCAGAUGGUAGAGCCCCGGAUUGUGAUUCCGGUUGUCGUGGGUUCGAGUCCCAUCGGCCACC
This 73-nucleotide transfer RNA is filed under the name Thioalkalivibrio denitrificans. It matches the Rfam family "tRNA". Rfam says of the family: Transfer RNA (tRNA) molecules are approximately 80 nucleotides in length. The record is from Rfam by way of RNAcentral. Lineage: Bacteria; Pseudomonadati; Pseudomonadota; Gammaproteobacteria; Chromatiales; Ectothiorhodospiraceae.